GACGAACGCUGGCGGUGUGCUUAACGCAUGCAAGUCGAACGGAAAGGCCCUGCUUUUGUGGGGUGCUCGAGUGGCGAACGGGUGAGUAACACGUGAGUAACCUGCCCUUGACUUUGGGAUAACUUCAGGAAACUGGGGCUAAUACCGGAUAGGAGCUCCUGCUGCAUGGUGGGGGUUGGAAAGUUUCGGCGGUUGGGGAUGGACUCGCGGCUUAUCAGCUUGUUGGUGGGGUAGUGGCUUACCAAGGCUUUGACGGGUAGCCGGCCUGAGAGGGUGACCGGCCACAUUGGGACUGAGAUACGGCCCAGACUCCUACGGGAGGCAGCAGUGGGGAAUAUUGCACAAUGGGCGGAAGCCUGAUGCAGCAACGCCGCGUGCGGGAUGACGGCCUUCGGGUUGUAAACCGCUUUCGCCUGUGGCGAAGUGUGAGUGACGGUAAUGGGUAAAGAAGCACCGGCUAACUACGUG
RNAcentral lists this ribosomal RNA (468 nucleotides) under uncultured bacterium. RNAcentral describes it as "partial 16S ribosomal RNA". It matches the Rfam family "Bacterial small subunit ribosomal RNA", at positions 28 to 507 of the family's 1533-position model. The record is from RNAcentral.